RNAcentral lists this ribosomal RNA (499 nucleotides) under uncultured bacterium. RNAcentral's name for it is "bacterial SSU rRNA". It matches the Rfam family "Bacterial small subunit ribosomal RNA", at positions 9 to 508 of the family's 1533-position model. The record is from RNAcentral.
GAGUUUGAUCCUGGCUCAGGAUGAACGCUGGCGGCGUGCUUAACACAUGCAAGUCGAGCGGAGCACAUCGUUGGAAUCCUUCGGGAGGAAGAGGAUGUGGCUUAGCGGCGGACGGGUGAGUAACGCGUGGACAACCUGCCCUAUGCAGGGGGAUAACAUCCGGAAACGGGUGCUAAUACCGCAUAAGCGCACAGUACCGCAUGGUACAGUGUGAAAAGCUGAGGCGGCAUAGGAUGGGUCCGCGUUGGAUUAGGCAGUUGGCGGGGUAACGGCCCACCAAACCGACGAUCCAUAGCCGGCCUGAGAGGGUGGACGGCCACAUUGGGACUGAGACACGGCCCAGACUCCUACGGGAGGCAGCAGUGGGGAAUAUUGCACAAUGGGGGGAACCCUGAUGCAGCGACGCCGCGUGGGUGAGGAAGUACUUCGGUAUGUAAAGCCCUAUCAGCAGGGAAGAAAAUGACGGUACCUGACUAAGAAGCCCCGGCUAACUACGUGC